Molecule: ribosomal RNA, 435 nt
Filed under: Triticum aestivum (bread wheat)
Lineage: Eukaryota; Viridiplantae; Streptophyta; Magnoliopsida; Poales; Poaceae
Description: partial small subunit ribosomal RNA
Source: RNAcentral
AUGAACUCGUGCUGCACUCUCUCCUGCACCUUCCUGCUGCUCCUCGCCGGCCCUUGCUGCUCCUCGCCGGGCAAGAUCUUACAAGCAGCAGCGGCGGCGCACAAGCAGCGGCUCAAGCAGCCCCCACGGGAGCAGUGCACUCGGCGGCCGGCGGCCAAGCCCGGGCCCGAGUCGCGUAACCCUAGGGGACGGGAGGGAGGGGGCGAGAGAGAGAGGGCAACACCUUCCUGGGCUGGAUCCGGCCACCGGCGUGGAGGACCACCAAGUGCAAGUCGCCGCCGCCGUCGAGAAGCCCGACCGCAACUCGCCGUCGCUGUCGUCUUCGCGAGUUCUUGCGGGCGAGAGGAAGGGGAACGACCAGAGAUCGAGACCUCCCAGUUCGUGGUCAAUCUAGGGAAAGGGGUAUCUUGGACAUUUGUUGCAGGAUCCACCUGA